Mirounga angustirostris (Northern elephant seal) is the source of this 2386-nucleotide long non-coding RNA. RefSeq lists it as uncharacterized. Lineage: Eukaryota; Metazoa; Chordata; Mammalia; Carnivora; Phocidae. The record is from RefSeq and is a predicted model, not a curated record. The transcript has 3 exons.
AUUAAAGAGGGCACGUUCUGCAUGGAGCACUGGGUGUUAUACGCAAACAAUGAAUCAUGGAACACUACAUCAAAAACUAAUGAUGUAAUGAAUGGUGAUUAACAUAACAUAAUAAAAAAAAGAGAAAAAAAGUGUGAAUGGAAUGACACAGCACUUAAUACAAAUCAAAGCAAACUAAACAUAUAAUUGAGGUUUUCCAUCAUAUUCUAUCAGUCUCUGCUUGUUCUGAGGUCUAUACACGUCUGGGGAAUCUAGUUCAUGAGCUGACACAGUGGAGACUGUAUGGGGGAAGCAUCUUGUCGAGUCACUGUGGGAUAUUCAUGUUCAGAAACUGAGCCCAAAAGGAGCUUAAACUGGCCCCUAUCUCACCCAAGGGCACAACCAGGAUCUCAGAAAGCAAAUACAGAGGACAAAGCAGACAGAGUGAGAGAAGACCCCAACAAAGGAGAGAAUACUCCAUUUAGAAAUACUUCCCAUUCUUCUCCCUUGGUCCCUGGCUCUGUUGUUCAACAUGCAGGAACACCAUGGUUAACUAGCCAACACCACAGGUCUGUGCAAGUCACAUGAUCCUGAUUGCUGUUUUAACUCUGCUGUCCUUUAAGGUAAGUACAUCCACCUGGUCUUUGACUGUUGAGUGCUGCCGCUUGGUCCUGCCAUCCUGGGGUCCAAUUACAUCCACUGAAUUUAAAUUUUCCAAUUUAGUGACUAUGAGUCCCUCUGUAAGAUCUGGCCUUCAGAGAAGAGCUUUCACAAGGAUGCUGGGAAUCCCCUCACAAAUUUAUUGUUCAAAGUAUUGGUGAAGGUGUAUGUCUUGAACCUCGCAUUUGAAAGCUGAAAGACAACAGUGAUGAUGGAAAAGAAGAAAAAACUGAUAAAGAUCACAAUUGUCAUUUUGUUCACAUAAUGUCUUAAGAUAAUAAAAUAUCUUUCAGAGGUUUUUUUAUAAGUCCCAAGUAUGUUUUCAUUUAAAUGAGAGGAUUAGAAAUAAAUACUGUGGAGCUCAUUUGUUGAAGUUUAGUUAGCAUUUGAUUCAGACUUUCAAUUUUCAGCUUCUCUCCUUUCUGGUCAUACAAGUAGAUAACCAAGCUUCUCCUAACUUAUGUAUUCUCAUCUGUAAGGUGGGAACAGUGAUAUAUGUCUCAGUGGAUUAUUGCAUUUCGUAGACAUUGAAGUGCUCAAAAGUGCUAUUAUUAAUUCUCAUUCUAGAAGGUUCUUUGCCUUAAAUUACAAUCUUUAGCAUUAUAUGUAAGGUAGCUUGAUUUAAUAGGAAAAUGUAGGCUACGUGACAUAAAAUACAGGUUAGCCCACUCAGAUACCCAACCCAACCUCUUCGGUAUGGCCUUCCUCAACUCUUGAGAUUGGGAACCUGGAAAAUUCACUUCGUGGAGUAUUUUUCAGCUAAGUAUGGCCACAUGAUUCACUUCUGUGCAAAGAGUGAGGCACGAGCGUAAGUGCGGAAGUACCACCAUCUUCUCUCCCAUCCGUAAGGUAGAUGUGAUGAUAGGAAUUGGAGCAGCUGCCAUGCAACCCCGAGGGAAAGGGAACAAAAUCAAACCCAUGACCCCGUGCUAACAACCUCCUACCUUUAGAUUUAUUGCUAUAUGAGAAAAAGAAUGUCUCUAAUUUCUUGAAGGUCACAAUUUAAUUGAAUUCUCCCUCACAAGUGAAUGCAAGCCCCACCUGAGACAUCCUUUGGUGCAGAAUGGAUACAAUUCCAUUUUAUUCCUUACUAGUUGUGUGACAGGAACAAAAACAAAGUGUGGGAGCAAGGGUUGGUGAGGGAGGGGUCCAGCUAUUGAUACAACCCAAGAACAAACACGUCAAACACCCAAGAGUGUUUCUGGCAUAUAAUAGGCUGUGAGUGGCAAAAAUCACAGGUAAGAAUCAUUUCCCUUGGGGCACCUGGGUGGCUCAGUCGUUAAGCGUCUGCCUUCGGCUCAGGUCAUGAUCCCAGAGUCCUGGGAUCGAGCCCCGCAUUGGGCUCCCUGCUCCGCGGGAGGCCUGCUUCUCCCUCUCCCACUCCCCCUGCUUGUGUUCCUGCUCUUGCUAUCUCUCUCUCUGUCAAAUAAAUAAAUAAAAUCUUUAAAAAAAAAAAAAGAAUCAUUUCCCUUAUCUUAUGGCUGUGAGUUGUUGAGAAAUCACGGAAUUACUUCCCUAUGAACAUUUUGUCUUGAAGAGAACACGUUGGGCAAUUCAGCAGUCUGAACAGAAAAUAAAAGUUAUUGAGCAUAUUAAGCACUAAGCAAAUGUCAACUCUCUCUCCUUUAGGUUGUGUGCUUACAGGUAGUUUCCAAACCAACCAAAUAACUUUCAAAAGCUAAUUACAGCUUGAAACUAAGAGGAGGCUUGAUAUUGAAAGUAUUUUUUUUAAGUCAGUUUAAAAUGU